GUUAAUGACUGUGUUUGUGUGUGUUCAUUAGCGACCAAGUGACCAGCCCUCACCAAGUCCUUUAGAAACUGGGAGCUCACAGUCUGGCCCCUGGGCAGCCUCCUUCAUUCAUUAGGAAACUAGAACCUUCUGCGUUAAAUAGAGCAUUUUGUUUGAAUGAAGAUUUUUCCCGUCUGUGCACGCAGACACGGCGGCCGCAGGAGAUGCGUGGAUUCAAAGGCUUCCUCCAGCCUGUGGGUGCUGGGGAGGGGAUGGGAGCAUAAGCAGUCCAUACCACUGCCUCCUUUGUCUGAAGGGGGACUGGAUAUGGAGGAUGUGCUUUCCCCUUUCUCUCCAAGUUCCAGGGGGAACCUUGAACCUGAGGUAGAAGCUAUUCAGACUCAAUGAUUACAGGCAACAAGGAGAGAAAUCUUCUAGGGCCCAGCCUUCAGCUGGCAACACCAGCAUUCAUCUUGUUUUUCUGGAGAAAGUAGGAGAUGUCAGUCCUGACCAUGGUGUAAGACUCGGGGAACUUCAGAGGGGCCCCAGAGCAGCUCCUCACCUUGCUCAUCUUGCCUCCUCUCUGCCUCUCAGCUGCCCGGAAUUGACUAUAUCAUCCUAAGCUAAUUUUUUCCUCUGCCUCUUCAUCUGGAGACUCCCCCAGAGCAGCAUUAACUCAGGCAAAGCCCCAAACCUCCCUGGGCCUAUUUACCUCUAAAAAAAAGUCCCUGGUUGAGAAGUUCAAGUUGAAUGUGGAUGCAAAAGCAUUUUUUAAACCAUAGUACAUUGAAGAAUAUGAUUGUUCUCCUUGGGAGGGCAGGGGUGCUGAAUUGAGGCUAGCCUGGAUUCAUCCUCCUAUCUAUGGUAGAGACAUCAAACUAGCAGACCUUGGAGUCCCAGAGCACCUCCAAAGUGAAAAUGUGUCUGAAGAGAUGCUGCUUGUGGAAGCAGAGUUCUUCACUUUGCUGGGCUUCAGAACUCCCGUUGGAUCUGGAAAUGCCAAGUGGAUGGGGAUUGUAUUAAGUGGCCUCAAAGGCCCUCCAUCUUCCUCAGACUCCAAGAGGCUGAAUGACUCACCCAAAGGUCAGCUCGGAAGCCAUGCAAAUGCGGAAGCUGCUUAGGUGCUUCAGGUAACAGUCUUGAUGCAAGCAGGUCAAGAUGGCAGGUGGUUCUUCUCCAGUCAUCCUGAAACCCUAGGUGCAAUUCUGCUGCUGAGUCACUUCAGUCG
Molecule: long non-coding RNA, 1207 nt
Organism: Bos taurus (domestic cattle)
Lineage: Eukaryota; Metazoa; Chordata; Mammalia; Artiodactyla; Bovidae
Source: Ensembl